CUUAGCUAAGUCGGUAGAGCGCAGGCUUGUUAAGAGUGAAGUUGCAGGCUCAAGUCUGGGUG
This 62-nucleotide transfer RNA is filed under the name Chattonella subsalsa. The record is from RNAcentral. Lineage: Eukaryota; Raphidophyceae; Chattonellales; Chattonellaceae.